GAACGCUUUUUCUUUCACCGGAGCUUGCUCCACCGAAAGAAAAAGAGUGGCGAACGGGUGAGUAACACGUGGGUAACCUGCCCAUCAGAAGGGGAUAACACUUGGAAACAGGUGCUAAUACCGUAUAACACUAUUUUCCGCAUGGAAGAAAGUUGAAAGGCGCUUUUGCGUCACUGAUGGAUGGACCCGCGGUGCAUUAGCUAGUUGGUGAGGUAACGGCUCACCAAGGCAACGAUGCAUAGCCGACCUGAGAGGGUGAUCGGCCACACUGGGACUGAGACACGGCCCAGACUCCUACGGGAGGCAGCAGUAGGGAAUCUUCGGCAAUGGACGAAAGUCUGACCGAGCAACGCCGCGUGAGUGAAGAAGGUUUUCGGAUCGUAAAACUCUGUUGUUAGAGAAGAACAAGGAUGAGAGUAAAAUGUUCAUCCCUUGACGGUAUCUAACCAGAAAGCCACGGCUAACUACGUGCCAGCAGCCGCGGUAAUACGUAGGUGGCAAGCGUUGUCCGGAUUUAUUGGGCGUAAAGCGAGCGCAGGCGGUUUCUUAAGUCUGAUGUGAAAGCCCCCGGCUCAACCGGGGAGGGUCAUUGGAAACUGGGAGACUUGAGUGCAGAAGAGGAGAGUGGAAUUCCAUGUGUAGCGGUGAAAUGCGUAGAUAUAUGGAGGAACACCAGUGGCGAAGGCGGCUCUCUGGUCUGUAACUGACGCUGAGGCUCGAAAGCGUGGGGAGCGAACAGGAUUAGAUACCCUGGUAGUCCACGCCGUAAACGAUGAGUGCUAAGUGUUGGAGGGUUUCCGCCCUUCAGUGCUGCAGCAAACGCAUUAAGCACUCCGCCUGGGGAGUACGACCGCAAGGUUGAAACU
RNAcentral lists this ribosomal RNA (866 nucleotides) under Enterococcus gallinarum. RNAcentral's name for it is "bacterial SSU rRNA". It matches the Rfam family "Bacterial small subunit ribosomal RNA", at positions 64 to 901 of the family's 1533-position model. Lineage: Bacteria; Bacillati; Bacillota; Bacilli; Lactobacillales; Enterococcaceae. The record is from RNAcentral.